Molecule: ribosomal RNA, 334 nt
Filed under: uncultured eukaryote
Lineage: Eukaryota
Description: partial 18S ribosomal RNA
Rfam family: Eukaryotic small subunit ribosomal RNA
Source: RNAcentral
CCCUUAGAUGUUCGGGGCCGCACGCGCGCUACAAUGAGUCGAUCAACGAGCGUAUAUUAUUAUCCAAGUCCGAAAGGUCGAGGUAAUCCGUUGAACCCGACUCGUGCUAGGGAUAGGGAAUUGUAAUUGUUUCCCUUGAACGAGGAAUUCCCAGUAAACGCAAGUCAUCAGCUUGCAUUGAUUACGUCCCUGCCCUUUGUACACACCACCCGUCGCAUCUACCGAUUGAAUGGAGAGGCAAAAUCUUCGGACCGUGACGCUUGGGAGUCAAAUCUCGGGCUGUCGUGGGAAGUGGAUUAAACCUUUCUAUUUAGAGGAAGGUAAAGUCGUAACA